GGGUGAGUAACACGUGGAUAACCUACCUAUAAGACUGGGAUAACUUCGGGAAACCGGGGCUAAUACCGGAUAAUAUUAUGAACCGCAUGGUUCAAAAGUGAAAGACGGUCUUGCUGUCACUUAUAGAUGGAUCCGCGCUGCAUUAGCUAGUUGGUAAGGUAACGGCUUACCAAGGCAACGAUGCAUAGCCGACCUGAGAGGGUGAUCGGCCACACUGGAACUGAGACACGGUCCAG
This 236-nucleotide ribosomal RNA is filed under the name uncultured Staphylococcus sp. RNAcentral describes it as "partial 16S ribosomal RNA". It matches the Rfam family "Bacterial small subunit ribosomal RNA", at positions 104 to 334 of the family's 1533-position model. The record is from RNAcentral. Lineage: Bacteria; Bacillati; Bacillota; Bacilli; Caryophanales; Staphylococcaceae.